AUAUACUCAAGCCGUGCCCAGGGUAGAAGACGGUCUCCUGUUGCUUCUAGAGCAAGAUGUAGAACUCUUGGCUCCUUCUCCAGCAACAUGUAGUCUGCAAGCUGCCAUGUCUCCCAUCAUGAGAAUAACGGACUAAACCUUUGAAACUGAACCCUAAAAGAGGGUCAAACUGCUUAUCUGUCAGAAGCCAGGCCUUGGGACAGACCCAUCCCAGGAGAGAGACAGCAAAACUUAUCUGAAGACUGGAGAGAUGGCUCAGCACUUAAGGGCAUUUGGCUGCUCUUCCAGAGGACCAGGGUUCAAUUCCCAGUACCCACAUGGCAACUCACAACCAUCAAUAACUCCAGUUCCAGGUGACCUGGCACCCUCACACAGACAUAUAUGCAGGCAAAACACCAAUGCACAUAAAAAUAAACACAUUAUUUUUUUUUUAAUUAUCUGAUGUAACUCCAUGGUACAGUGCUUGCCUGGCAGGCCCCUGUAGUUGACCCCCUGCACUGGGAAAAAGAAAAUGUCUAUGUGAACACAAAACAAUAAAAGACAAUCCGGAGGAUCCUGGACCAGGCCUUGGCAAACUGCCGGGUUUUGUCUAUAAAGCUGGGCUGCGGUACAGCCAUUAUGGGCUCUAUACUGUUUAAGAUGUUUUCCUGUUGUGGUGGCAACAGAGAAGCUGGGAUG
RNAcentral lists this long non-coding RNA (678 nucleotides) under Mus musculus (house mouse). RNAcentral describes it as "predicted gene, 47561". Lineage: Eukaryota; Metazoa; Chordata; Mammalia; Rodentia; Muridae. The record is from RNAcentral.